GCCCUCUCAGCCGGCACGGGGGGCCCUGUGCCCACUGACCCACCACCUCUGGCCCGGCCCCUCCAGUGCACCAAGCCUGCACCAGCUCAGGGCCCCCCGCAGGCAGCCCUUCUCCAAGCCCCACCUUUCCACAGCACAGCAGAGGGGACGCGGGCCAGGCUGGGCCCCGGGGAGGGGGGCUUGGGGCCGAGCAGGGCACGCACGAGCACCGGGGGCAGCUCUGUGGUCCGCGGAACUCGGGUCCCCCAUUCAGACUCACCACGGCUGGCCGUCCACCUCAGCCCUGCCCUUGCCGAGCAGAAAACAGGCUCAGCAGGGGGAGGGCACACAGCCCCCAGCCCGGGCCUCCUGACUGGAGCCCGUGACCUGGCGCCUGGGCUCUGCCCCCAGCCCAGCACCCAGGGAGGACCGGGCCCUCAACCCACUCGACGGAAGCACCGAGGCAGAAAGGCGCCCGUUCCCAGCUUGCACGGCCAGAGCGGACACUGGGCCACCCCUGACCUGCUGCUGGGCCCUUCCGGAAACUUCCAUAGGGCAACCAGAGGUAGCGGAGACCUCUCCACGGAGAUGGGGGGAUGGCGGGGGCGGGCAGGAGACACAGGCUCCAGAAGCACCCGGCAGCCCCUGGCCACGGGUCUCCAGGGCAGCGCGGGAGCUGGGGGGGCGGGGGGCGGGGGGCGGGCAUGCACAGGGUCCAUGCUGCUCCUCCCGGAAGUCCUCCAGGCUCCGUCCUGACAGCAAGGGGCGAGGAGCACCUCCUCACUGCGCGCUCACAAGCCUUCUCUCUGCAGCACCUACUGUGUGCAGGAAGGAUCUAGAAGGGCCCUCCUACACAGGGCUCUCAGCCCCCAAGGCCAGCCCGGCCCGGCACCAUCCCAGGUGCAGGGAAGCGCCUGGCCUGUGUCUCCGUUUAUUCAGCUCCAGGAAGCCGCGGAGGAAGAGUUGGUCCUGCCGAAAAUAAACCAGGAUCUGUCGGCAAACAGGCAAACACGAGAGAGCCUAGGGUUCCCAGCCCAUGGGAGGACUCCGAGGAGACCCCAGGCUUCCCACGGCGGGGGAGGGGAUGUGCCAGCCACUCUUGGGGGC
Molecule: long non-coding RNA, 1086 nt
Filed under: Bos indicus x Bos taurus (hybrid cattle)
Lineage: Eukaryota; Metazoa; Chordata; Mammalia; Artiodactyla; Bovidae
Description: lncRNA (ENSBIXG00005018755.1)
Source: RNAcentral